GCUCUUCAGAUCUGCACAUCACGUACCAAGGAAGAAAGGAUCCUUCAAGGUGGACAGCUGGACAGUUUCAAGAUAAGGGAAACAAAGGAGACAGGAACCAACCGACAUGCCUGAAAUAGUUGCCGCUUCAGCUUUUUUGCAUGGGGAAGGUGGCUGCAGAGGAUUGGUAAUAGAUAAGGAGAAGGCCAGUUUAUUGGUUUAGGCCCCCCAAGGCACACAGGCAGGAUGUUUUGCCAACAGUAUAUAAUCUUUGUGUAACCUGUAAUUGGGGUCCCGUUCUGCUUAACAGAGCAGUACCACGCUCGAGCGUAAUAAACCUGCAAACUUUGAGA
Long non-coding RNA from Dermochelys coriacea (leatherback sea turtle), 332 nucleotides. RefSeq lists it as uncharacterized. The record is from RefSeq and is a predicted model, not a curated record. NCBI's taxonomy places the organism in Eukaryota, Metazoa, Chordata, Testudines, Dermochelyidae. The transcript is spliced from 3 exons.